UACGUAGGGGGCAAGCGUUAUCCGGAUUUACUGGGUGUAAAGGGAGCGUAGACGGCGAUGCAAGCCAGAUGUGAAAGCCCGGGGCUCAACCCCGGGACUGCAUUUGGAACUGUAUAGCUAGAGUGUCGGAGAGGCAGGCGGAAUUCCUAGUGUAGCGGUGAAAUGCGUAGAUAUUAGGAGGAACACCAGUGGCGAAGGCGGUCUGCUGGACAGCAACUGACGCUGAGGCGCGAAAGCGUGGGGAGCAAACAGG
This 253-nucleotide ribosomal RNA is filed under the name uncultured bacterium. RNAcentral describes it as "partial 16S ribosomal RNA". It matches the Rfam family "Bacterial small subunit ribosomal RNA", at positions 524 to 776 of the family's 1533-position model. The record is from RNAcentral.